GAGGAUGUGGCUCAGUGGUAGAGCACUUGCCUAGCAUGUAUGAGGCACUGGGUUCAAUUCUCAGCACCACA
RNAcentral lists this transfer RNA (71 nucleotides) under Marmota marmota marmota (Alpine marmot). It matches the Rfam family "tRNA". From Rfam's summary of the family: Transfer RNA (tRNA) molecules are approximately 80 nucleotides in length. Their secondary structure includes four short double-helical elements and three loops (D, anti-codon, and T loops). RNAcentral also lists the same sequence under 1 other name. The record is from Rfam by way of RNAcentral. Lineage: Eukaryota; Metazoa; Chordata; Mammalia; Rodentia; Sciuridae.